Podarcis lilfordi (Lilford's wall lizard) is the source of this 72-nucleotide non-coding RNA. The record is from the annotation of a GenBank genome assembly. Lineage: Eukaryota; Metazoa; Chordata; Lepidosauria; Squamata; Lacertidae.
GGGUUAUAGCUCAGUGGUUAAAGCAUCUGCUUUGAAUACAGAAAGUCCCAGGUUCAGUCCUUGGCAUAUUCG